This 402-nucleotide ribosomal RNA is filed under the name uncultured bacterium. RNAcentral's name for it is "bacterial SSU rRNA". It matches the Rfam family "Bacterial small subunit ribosomal RNA", at positions 355 to 774 of the family's 1533-position model. The record is from RNAcentral.
UCGGGAAUUUUGGGCAAUGGGCGAAAGCCUGACCCAGCAACGCCGCGUGAGGGAUGAAGUAUUUCGGUAUGUAAACCUCGAAAGAAUGGGAAGAAUAAAUGACGGUACCAUUUAUAAGCUCCGGCUAACUACGUGCCAGCAGCCGCGGUAAUACGUAGGGAGCAAGCGUUGUUCGGAUUUACUGGGCGUAAAGGGCGCGUAGGCGGCGCGGUAAGUCACUUGUGAAAUCUCUGAGCUUAACUCAGAACGGCCAAGUGAUACUGCUGUGCUAGAGUGCGGAAGAGGCAACCGGAAUUCUUGGUGUAGCGGUGAAAUGCGUAGAUAUCAAGAGGAACACCUGAGGCGAAGGCGGGUUGCUGGGCCGGCACUGACGCUGAUGCGCGAAAGCCAGGGGAGCAAACG